Molecule: RNA transcript, 1972 nt
Organism: Piliocolobus tephrosceles (Ugandan red Colobus)
Lineage: Eukaryota; Metazoa; Chordata; Mammalia; Primates; Cercopithecidae
Gene name: E3 ubiquitin-protein ligase RNF220 pseudogene
Exons: 1
Source: RefSeq, a predicted model, not a curated record
CCGCCGCCGCCGGGCAGCCGGGGGGAAUCCGCCCGCAUCACCGCCCUCGCCGGCCGGGCGGCCGUGGGGCCCAGAGUGCCGGAGGCCGGAGGCCGGGGCUGGGGCGGCACCGCGCAGCGGCCACGGGGUCCCGUUAGAGCAGCGUCCGGCGGCUAUGCUGAGAGCCCGGAGCGGCCGGAGGAGCAGAGGGGCCGGCGGGAGGGAGGAAACCUUUCUGCGAGUACGAGCCAACCGGCAGACCCGACUGAAUGCUCGGAUUGGGAAAAUGAAACGGAGGAAGCAAGAUGAAGGGCAGAGGGAAGGCUCCUGCAUGGCUGAGGAUGAUGCUGUGGACAUCGAGCAUGAGAACAACAACCGCUUUGAGGAGUAUGAAUGGUGUGGGCAGAAGCGGAUACGGGCCACCACUCUUCUGGAAGGUGGCUUCCGAGGCUCCGGCUUCAUCAUGUGCAGCGGCAAAGAGAACCCGGACAGUGAUGCGGACUUGGAUGUGGAUGGGGAUGACACUUUGGAGUAUGGGAAGCCACAAUAUACAGAGGCUGAUGUCAUCCCCUGCACAGGCGAGGAGCCUGGUGAAGCCAAGGAGAGAGAGGCACUCCGGGGCGCAGUCCUAAAUGGCGGCCCUCCCAGCACACGCAUCACGCCUGAGUUCUCUAAAUGGGCCAAUGACGAGAUGCCAUCCACCAGCAAUGGUGAAAGCAGCAAGCAGGAGGCCAUGCAGAAGACCUGCAAGAACAGUGACAUCGAGAAAAUCACCGAAGAUUCAGCUGUGACCACGUUUGAGGCUCUGAAGGCUCGGGUCAGAGAACUUGAACGGCAGCUAUCUCGUGGGGACCGUUACAAAUGCCUCAUCUGCAUGGACUCGUACUCGAUGCCCCUGACGUCCAUCCAGUGUUGGCACGUGCACUGCGAGGAGUGCUGGCUGCGGACGCUGAGUGCCAAGAAGCUCUGCCCUCAGUGCAACACGAUCACAGCGCCCGGAGACCUGCGGAGGAUCUACUUGUGAGCUAUCUGCCCCAGGCAGGCCUCGCCUCCAGCAGCCCCACCUGCCCCCAGCCUCUGUGACAGUGACCCUCUCCCUUUGUACAUACUUGCACACAGGUUCCCCAUGUACAUACAUGCACAUACUCACACAUGCGUACUACACACACACACAUUUACACACGUAGGACUCUGGAGCCAGAGUAGAGGCUGUGGCCCAGGCACUACCUGCUGGCUCCCACCUAUGGUUUGGGGGCCAUACCUGUUCCAGCUCUGUUCCCAGGGUAGGGCAGGGAGGUGGGGGUUGGGGGAGUAGUGGGGCACGGCUCCUGAGAUGCAGCCCCCAGACUGACAGAUGGACAGACAGACAUGCAAACACCAGACUGAAGCACAUGUAAUAUAGACCGUGUAUGUUUACAAUGUUGUGUAUAAAUGGGACAACUCCUCGCCCUCUACCUGUCCCCUCCCCCUUUGGUUGUAUGAUUUUCUUCUUUUUUAAGAACCCCUGGAAGCAGUGCCUCCUUCAGGGUUGGCUGGGGGCUCGGCUCAUCCACCUCUUGGGGUACCUGCCUCCCUCUCCCGUGGUGUCCCUUCCCUCUCCCACGUGCUCGGUGUCCAGUGGUGUAUAUUUCUUCUCCCAGACGUGGGGCACAUGCCCCAAGGGACAUGAUCUUCUCCUUAGUCUUAGCUCAUGGGACUCUUUAUAAGGAGUUGGGGGGGUAGAAGCAGGAAACGGGAACCGAGCUGAAGCAGAGGCUGAGAUGGGGGACUGGAAGACAGUGCUCCUGGCCACCCAGCCUCUGCUGAGAACCAUUUCUGGGAUUAGAGCUGCCCUUCCCAGGGAAAAAGUGUCAUCUCCCCGACCCUCCCGUGGGCCCUAUGGUGUGAUGCUGUGUCUGUAUAUUCUAUACAAAGGUACUUGUCCUUUCCCUUUGUAAACUACAUUUGACAUGGAUUAAACCAGUAUAAACAGUUAAAAAAAAAAAAAAAAAAA